Long non-coding RNA from Poecilia latipinna (sailfin molly), 3146 nucleotides. RefSeq lists it as uncharacterized. The transcript is spliced from 5 exons. NCBI's taxonomy places the organism in Eukaryota, Metazoa, Chordata, Actinopteri, Cyprinodontiformes, Poeciliidae. The record is from RefSeq and is a predicted model, not a curated record.
GCUGCAGCUAUUUGCUAUUUUUGUUAUAUUGGUGCAGAACUUUUAUUACAUACCUGACUGUAGUCAAAUGCCUUAUAAUCUAAACUAUCACUUGGUAAACUUUGGAAGAUGUGAAUAAAUUAACAAUUGGAUGCAGUUUGCAGUCGUUCUCACUGGGUUUUUAUUUUAUAGAUUAAGUAAAAAAUUGUCACUGGUUAAGCUGUCAAUAGAACAUGUGUGAAAUGGGUCUUGUUGGAAAUAUCACACGCCAUCAAAAGCUUGGCUGGUGUUUGCACUGUGUCUUAAUGGCACCACUUGAAAUGUCAAGAUUAUUAUCGGUGGUGAGCUCAAUGGUGUUUGGAUGCCUUGUGAUUUUCUUCAGUAUUAAUGCACCUAUGUAGGUGAAAAGAAAAGAAAAAAAGUGCCAGUGGUUACUUUCAAUUAUGUCCUUUUUCAUAUUUAAUGGUGUUUAUCUGAGUGAAAGGUCAGCAGUGCUGUGUUUGUGUGCUUUUCCUAAUGCUGUGGGAGGCAUCUGGUACCCUGCUGCUUAGCCUGUUCUGUCUCUUUAAAAAUGCACAGCGUUACGCCACAGGGAGCAGUGACCCCCAUGACGCUAACCUAUUGAGCGGUAAAUAUCAGGUGAUCACGUCUCUACCUGAGAGUCUCUGUGUGUUUUAGUCUCUACUUGUGUGACGUGUGCAUGCUUUGUGGAAAAAGAGAGAGACAAUUCAGGGAUAUACAAACUCCACUCUGUUCUAAUGAGCUAGCUGUGCUGCUCCUCUAGCUCUGUCUCUCGGGUCCUCCUGCCGGCUCACCACUAAAAGGUCAGAACCCUACUGUCUAGUUCUCACUGCCACUCGGAACCACCAAACAUUUACAAGUCAACAAAUUUCACAAUGAAAACAGCCCUAAAGUCUCACAAGACCGCAAGGAUCCCCAAAACUGAAUGUUGGUGGAUUGCUUCAGAGUUGGAAACAGAUUCCACGUAUUACUGAAGUAAUCAAAACAAAGAUUAAAAUAAACUGAGGCUGAUUGUCACGGCUGUUCAAAGACUCCACCAACUGGCACUAGGAUUUGUGAUUCAAGAGGAGUGAAGCUGUUGGACUCAUGUUUUCUUAAAAAAAAAAAAAGCCUUUUAAAACACUGAUGCUGUCAACUGCAAACAUUGUGCUGCAUGUGGUAUCAACCUAGUUUUUUUUUUUUUUUUUUUUCUUGUGCACCUCUUUUUGCUCCCAUGAAAGCACAGCGCACCAAUAAUAUUCUGGUCUCAACAUGUCCAUCAAGCAGGCUUAUCAGGUAACGGCUGUCCUCGCUGUACAUCUAAAUAAUGACUUCACAUCAUAAACACAGCAGGAGCGAUAAAAACACAAAAAGGGAAACGCAUUUCCUCACAUUGCGCUCUCUGUCUGAUCAGAGUAUAUUGGCCUUCUUAAAAGCUACAACAGUAUCUCGCUCUGUCAGUGAGAAAUCACAUCAUUGACUUCAUUUCUGCAAGUGAUGUGGUUAUUUUUAAUGCACGACAGGUUGUAAAAGAUGGCUGAAUGAUUCACCCCUUCAGAUGACUCACUGAACAACGAAAAGCAUUGAUAGUUAUUUAAAAUGUGGAAGUGCAAUUGUAGCAGAUGUUUUGUUGUAAAAAAAAAAAAAUGCACGUUGCUCAUUUGUAAUUUGUAUCGGGAAGGAAAAUUUGUGCUUUCUUAUACAUUAAUGCAUAUAUAUAUUUUUUUUUCAAUAAUAAAUUUUAGAAGUGGAAUGUUGUUUCCACUCCAAAGACAGGGGUGCUCGCCAUAUGCUCUCUCUCCACGGGGGCAGUCCAUGUUACAGAUAAAUGGCUAUAUAUUUUUAAGUGAACAAAAUUAAACACUCGAAGAAUCAGUCACGUGCAAUGAAUCUACAUCAUUUACUUUUUGAAUUUAGCUAAAUAAAAUAUUUCAGUCAUGUAAUUUAUUCAGAUUUAACCUGCAUGUAAAAUUUUAUCUGUGUAAAUUUAAGAUCGACAGAUAAAUUUAAAUUUGUGAACUUUGUUCAAAACGUAAAAGAGCAGCUCAAAUAUCAUGUUGAUGAGUAAACUACUGACCUGAACUGUAUCCUUUAGGGUUCAAUGACUACAGUAGGAAAUUAAAUAAUACAGCUCGCUAUCAUUCUCAAACAGACAUGGCGUUUCCACAUCCAGAUGCCCAGAUAAAGUGAAAGAGGAUAAAAACAGAGAGAAUAUAUUAAGUAGAGAAAGAAGUUGGAGAGAGUUUUUUUUUUGGUGUUUGUCAAAAUACAUCUCUUCCUCAGUCUGAAGACAAAUGCAACUGGAUGUUCUGAGCAGACGUAAAUCAGGGUUUUUGUUUUGUUUUUGUUUUUUUUGUUUUUUUACGUAGAUUGAGUCGUCACUUAUGUUCUUAUUUAUUUUCUCGCUGUCAAGAGACUUAAUUUGGCUCUAAAAGCCUACAAAUCAAAGUACAUGCGUUUUUAUUUUGUUGAAGAUUUUAUCAAGUUAGAGAAUGUGUUUCAGGAGUAAUUUCUGAGUGUAACGCUUAUCUUUCAAUUUAAUUGCACCACGUGUUCUGUUUGUAGGGUUUGAAUGAUCCAAAAUGCUAAUCAGCCUACUGUGAAAUUAGGUUAUAUCAUCCCCGCACAAGACUACAGUAUGUGAGGGAUGGGUGGGAGAAGAAGACAAAGAGCAGCAAUAGGAGAUCAAAAGCACUCUGUAAUAAUAAGAGUCUCUCUUUCCAUAUCCUCUCUCUCUCUCUCGCCCUCUAAGUUUGUCCUCUCUCUCUUCCUCUUUCUUCCCCUCUCUUUCCUCCUCUCGCUGCCUCUGAAUGGGAGAUGACGCUUCAGAUAUUAGUGAGCUGUGUCAGACAGUUAAACUGCCCUUUAUCGAUCCUCUACGCUUCAAUCUUUCCAAGCAGCCGUUAUGGUUUUAAUGGCCUGUAAUGGAGCUGGGUCUUCUUUGAUGUCCAAUUGCUCAGCAGGCCCUUGUUUUUGAUAGAGUUUCAAAGGAUGCUCCGAACAGAGCGGCACAUUUUCUACACAAAUUCUUAGUUCAAUGAGGUUCUCAAUGUCUCAAUCUCGGGGGGAAAAAAAAAAAAAAAAAUGAAAAAAAAUUCAAAAGAAGAGGAAGGUAAACGGAGAACAGAUAUCUGAGAUUUUUUUUCUCCAGACUUACUGGAAGCUUA